CCACAACCUUCAAACUAGAACAGCAGCACCAGCUACUCCCUGGGUCUCCAGCUCCCUCAAAAUUCAACUAUAGCACUGGCUGUUCCCCAGCGCCACCAGCUCCACAACCCUCAACUUACACGGUGGUAGCACCAGCUCCUCCCUAGGUCUCCAGCUACACGACCGUCAAACUUGAACUGCAACACCAGCUCCUCUUCGGCCUCCAGCUCCACAAUCCUCCAACAACAACAGCAACACCGGCUCCUCCCUGAAUCUCCAGCUCAACAACCCUCAGACUUGAGAGGCAGCACCGGCACCUCCCCAAGGCUCCAGCUCCAUGACCCUCAGAUUUGAACAGCGGUAGCACCAGCUCCUGUCCAGGUCUGCAGCUUCCAGUCCCUCAAAUAACAACAUUGCUCCUCCCUGGAUCUGCAGCUCCACGACCCUCAGACUAGAACACGAUCUGUCCUCCCUGGGUCACCAGCUUCCGAACCUUCGAACUAAAACAACAUUGCUCCUCCCUGGGUCUGCAGCUCCACGACCCUCAAACUAGAAAAAGACCUCUCCUCACUGUGUCGCCAGCUUCUGGACCCUCGAACUACAAAAACAUUGCUCCUGCCUGGGUCUGCAGCUCCACGACCCUCAAUCCAGAUCAAGAUCUCUCCUCCCUGUGUCAUCAGCUUCCUGACCCUCGAACUAUGACAGCAUUGCUCCUCCCUGGGCGCACCCUCAAACUAGAACAAGACCUCUCCACCCUGCGUCGCCAGUUUCCGGAGCCUCAAACUAAAACAACCUUGCUCCUCCCUGGGUCUGCAGCUCCACAACCCUCAAACUAGAACCAGACCUCUCCUCCCUGUGUUGCCAGCUUCCUGACCCUUGAACUAUGGAAACAUGGCUCCUCCCUAGGUCUGCAGCUCCACGACCCUCAAACUAAAACAAGAUCUCUCCUCCCUGGGUCUGCAGCUCCACGACCCUCAAACUAAAACAAGAUCUCUCCUCCCUGUGUCAUCAGCUUCCAGUCCCUCAAAUAACAACAUUGCUCCUCCCUGGGUCUGCAGCUCCACGACCCUCAAACUAAAACAAGACCUCUCCUCUCUAGGUCUGCAGCUUCCAGUCCCUCAAAUAACAACAUUGCUCCUCCCUGGAUCUGCAGCUCCAUGACUCUCAGACUACAACAAGAUCUCUCCUCCCUGGGUCACCAGCUUCCGGACCCUCGAACUACGAAAACAUUGCUCCUCCCUGGGUCUCCAGCUCCAUGACCCUCAAACUAAAACAAGAUCUCUCCUCCCUGUGUCAUCAGCUUCCAGUCCCUCAAAUAACAACAUUGCUCCUCCCUGGGUCUGCAGCUCCACGACCCUUAAACUAGAACAAGACCUCUCCUCACUGUGUCGCCAGCUUCCGGACCCUUGAACUAUGAAAACAUUGCUCCUCCCUGGGUCCGCAGCUCCACGACCCUCAAACUAAAACAAGAUCUCUCCUCCCUAGGUCUGCAGCUUCCAGUCCCUCAAAUAACAACAUUGCUCCUCCCUGGAUCUGCAGCUCCACGACCCUCAGACUAGAACAAGACCUCUCCUCCCUGAGUCACCAGCUUCCGAACCUUCGAACUAAAACAACAUUGCUCCUCCCUGGGUCCGCAGCUCCAUGACCCUCAAACUAGAACAAGACCUCUCCUCCCUAGGUCUGCAGCUUCCAGUCCCCAAAUAACAACAUUGCUCCUCCCUGGAUCUGCAGCUCCACGACCCUCAGACUAGAACAAGAUCUCUCCUCCCUGGGUCACCAGCUUCCGGACCCUGGAACUACAAAAACAUUGCUCCUCCCUGGGUCUGCAGCUCCACAACCCUCAAACUAAAACAAGAUCUCUCCUCCCUGUGUUGCCAGCUUCCGGACCCUCGAACUAUGACAACAUUGCUCCUCCCUGGGUCUGCAGCUCCACGACCCUCAAAGCAGAUCAAGAUCUCUCCUUCCUGUGUCAUCAGCUUCCUGACCCUUGAACUAUGACAACAUUGCUCCUCCCUGGGUCUGCAGCUCCAUGACUCUCAAACUAGAACAGCAGCACCAGCUCCUUCCUGGACCUCCAGGUCAAUGACUCUCAGACUUCAAAGGCAGCAGCAGCUCCACCCCCAGGCUCCAGCUCUAAAACCCUCAGAUGUGAGCAGUGGCAGCACCAGCUCCUUUCUGCGUCUCCGGCUUCAUGAUCCUUAAAUUAGAACAGCAGCGCCAUCUUCUCCCUGCGUCUCCAGCUCCAGGAACCUCAAACUGCAACAGGAGCACCUGUUCCUCUGGGAUUUUCACCUCCACGACCCUGAGGUGUCAGUGGCAGCACUGGCUCCUCCCCUGGGCUGCAGCUCCAGAACCCUCAAGAAUAAUCCCUUCUCAUGAAAUGUAGCAGUCAGGAAAACUGCAGAGGAA
This 2388-nucleotide long non-coding RNA is filed under the name Homo sapiens (human). Its description in RNAcentral is "non-protein coding lnc-NCOA3-10:3". Lineage: Eukaryota; Metazoa; Chordata; Mammalia; Primates; Hominidae. The record is from RNAcentral.